RNAcentral lists this ribosomal RNA (567 nucleotides) under uncultured Spiroplasma sp. RNAcentral's name for it is "bacterial SSU rRNA". It matches the Rfam family "Bacterial small subunit ribosomal RNA", at positions 9 to 574 of the family's 1533-position model. Lineage: Bacteria; Bacillati; Mycoplasmatota; Mollicutes; Entomoplasmatales; Spiroplasmataceae. The record is from RNAcentral.
GAGUUUGAUCCUGGCUCAGGAUUAACGCUGGCGGCAUGCCUAAUACAUGCAAGUCGAACGGAGUAGCAAUACUUAGUGGCGAACGGGUGAGUAACACGUAUCUAAUCUACCAUUUAGUAGGGAAUAACUGUUGGAAACGACAGCUAAUACCGCAUAAUAUUGCUGGAUAAUUUCCAGUAAUGAAAGGAGCUUUCAAGCUCCGCUGAUUGAUGAGGAUGCGGCGCAUUAGCUAGUUGGUAGGGUAAUGGCCUACCAAGGCAAUGAUGCGUAGCCGAUCUGAGAGGAUGAACGGCCACAUUGGGACUGAGACACGGCCCAAACUUCUACGGAAGGCAGCAGUAGGGAAUUUUUCACAAUGGGCGAAAGCCUGAUGGAGCAAUGCCGCGUGACUGAUGAAGGUCUUCGGAUUGUAAAGGUCUGUUGUAAGGGAAGAAAUGGUAAAACAGGAAAUGGUUUUAUCUAUGACGGUACCUUACCAGAAAGCCACGGCUAACUAUGUGCCAGCAGCCGCGGUAAUACAUAGGUGGCAAGCGUUAUCCGGAUUUAUUGGGCGUAAAGGGUGCGUAG